UGGGAAUUUUGGACAAUGGGCGAAAGCCUGAUCCAGCAAUGCCGCGUGUGUGAAGAAGGCCUUCGGGUUGUAAAGCACUUUUGUCCGGAAAGAAAUCCUUGGCUCUAAUACAGUCGGGGGAUGACGGUACCGGAAGAAUAAGCACCGGCUAACUACGUGCCAGCAGCCGCGGUAAUACGUAGGGUGCAAGCGUUAAUCGGAAUUACUGGGCGUAAAGCGUGCGCAGGCGGUUUGCUAAGACCGAUGUGAAAUCCCCGGGCUCAACCUGGGAACUGCAUUGGUGACUGGCAGGCUAGAGUAUGGCAGAGGGGGGUAGAAUUCCACGUGUAGCAGUGAAAUGCGUAGAGAUGUGGAGGAAUACCGAUGGCGAAGGCAGCCCCCUGGGCCAAUACUGACGCUCAUGCACGAAAGCGUGGGGAGCAAACAGGAUUAGAUACCCUGGUAGUCCACGCCCUAAAACGAUGUCAACUAGUUGUUGGGGAUUCAUUUCCUUAGUAACGUAGCUAACGCGUGAAGUUGACCGCCUGGGGAGUACGGUCGCAAGAUUAAAACUCAAAUGAAUUGACGGGGUCAUAGCUGUUUCCU
This 585-nucleotide ribosomal RNA is filed under the name uncultured bacterium. RNAcentral describes it as "partial 16S ribosomal RNA". It matches the Rfam family "Bacterial small subunit ribosomal RNA", at positions 356 to 1375 of the family's 1533-position model. The record is from RNAcentral.